Molecule: ribosomal RNA, 497 nt
Filed under: uncultured bacterium
Lineage: Bacteria
Description: partial 16S ribosomal RNA
Rfam family: Bacterial small subunit ribosomal RNA
Source: RNAcentral
GAUGAACGCUGGCGGCGUGCCUAAUACAUGCAAGUCGAGCGAACGGACGAGAAGCUUGCUUUUCUGAUGUUAGCGGCGGACGGGUGAGUAACACGUGGAUAACCUACCUAUAAGACUGGGAUAACUUCGGGAAACCGGAUCUAAUACCGGAUAAUAUUUUGAACCGCAUGGUUCAAAAGUGAAAGACGGUCUUGCUGUCACUUAUAGAUGGAUCCGCGCUGCAUUAGCUAGUUGGUACGGUAACGGCUUACCAAGGCAACGAUGCAUAGCCGACCUGAGAGGGUGAUCGGCCACACUGGAACUGAGACACGGUCCAGACUCCUACGGGAGGCAGCAGUAGGGAAUCUUCCGCAAUGGGCGAAAGCCUGACGGAGCAACGCCGCGUGAGUGAUGAAGGUCUUCGGAUCGUAAAACUCUGUUAUUAGGGAAGAACAUAUGUGUAAGUAACUGUGCACAUCUUGACGGUACCUAAUCAGAAAGCCACGGCUAACUACGUG